This 900-nucleotide ribosomal RNA is filed under the name uncultured bacterium. RNAcentral describes it as "bacterial SSU rRNA". It matches the Rfam family "Bacterial small subunit ribosomal RNA", at positions 99 to 998 of the family's 1533-position model. The record is from RNAcentral.
CGCACGGGUGAGUAACACGUAUGCAACCUGCCUUCAACAAGGGCAUAACCCGUCGAAAGACGGACUAAUUCCCUAUGACACAGGGGUCCCGCAUGGGGAUAUUUGUUAAAGAUAUUAUCGGUUGAAGAUGGGCUUGCGUUCCAUUAGCUUGUCGGCGGGGUAACGGCCCACCAAGGCAACGAUGGAUAGGGGAACUGAGAGGUUUAUCCCCCACACUGGUACUGAGACACGGACCAGACUCCUACGGGAGGCAGCAGUGAGGAAUAUUGGUCAAUGGACGCAAGUCUGAACCAGCCACGUCGCGUGAAGGAAGACGGCCCUACGGGUUGUAAACUUCUUUUAUACGGGAACAAAGUGCCCCACGCGUGGGGUUUUGCAAGUACCGUACGAAUAAGGAUCGGCUAACUCCGUGCCAGCAGCCGCGGUAAUACGGAGGAUCCGAGCGUUAUCCGGAUUUAUUGGGUUUAAAGGGUGCUCAGGCGGGGGAUUAAGUCGGCGGUGAAAUUUUGCAGCUCAACUGUAAAAGUGCCUUCGAAACUGGUUUCCUUGAGUGCGGAUGAGGUAGGCGGAAUUUGUGGUGUAGCGGUGAAAUGCAUAGAUAUCACGAGGAACUCCGAUUGCGCAGGCAGCUUACCAAGCCGUAACUGACGCUCAAGCACGAAGGCGUGGGGAUCAAACAGGAUUAGAUACCCUGGUAGUCCACGCAGUAAACGAUGAUUACUGGCUGUUUGCGAUAUAAUGUAAGCGGCUGAGCGAAAGCGUUAAGUAAUCCACCUGGGGAGUACGUUCGCAAGAAUGAAACUCAAAGGAAUUGACGGGGGCCCGCACAAGCGGAGGAACAUGUGGUUUAAUUCGAUGAUACGCGAGGAACCUUACCCGGGCUUGAAAUGCAUCUGGCGU